This 495-nucleotide ribosomal RNA is filed under the name uncultured bacterium. RNAcentral describes it as "partial 16S ribosomal RNA". It matches the Rfam family "Bacterial small subunit ribosomal RNA", at positions 28 to 507 of the family's 1533-position model. The record is from RNAcentral.
GACGAACGCUGGCGGCGUGCCUAAUACAUGCAAGUAGAACGCUGAAGGAGGAGCUUGCUUCUCUGGAUGAGUUGCGAACGGGUGAGUAACGCGUAGGUAACCUGCCUGGUAGCGGGGGAUAACUAUUGGAAACGAUAGCUAAUACCGCAUAAGAGUAGAUGUUGCAUGACAUUUGCUUAAAAGGUGCAAUUGCAUCACUACCAGAAGGACCUGCGUUGUAUUAGCUAGUUGGUGGGGUAACGGCUCACCAAGGCGACGAUACAUAGCCGACCUGAGAGGGUGAUCGGCCACACUGGGACUGAGACACGGCCCAGACUCCUACGGGAGGCAGCAGUAGGGAAUCUUCGGCAAUGGACGGAAGUCUGACCGAGCAACGCCGCGUGAGUGAAGAAGGUUUUCGGAUCGUAAAGCUCUGUUGUAAGAGAAGAACGAGUGUGAGAGUGGAAAGUUCACACUGUGACGGUAUCUUACCAGAAAGGGACGGCUAACUACGUG